CAACGGCUUGACGAUAAGAAAGCUGUCUCUCUUUACUGAACUCCGAAGUUAGCUGGAUAGUGAAGAGACUCUCUUAGCAAAGCGGGACGAGAAGACCCCGUUGAGCUUUAGUAAAAAUUGUUUAAUAAAAACUUGAUUACUUGAGUUGGGGCAACUAUCUUUCUUUUUUAAAACAAAGAUAAAAACGUUUUGAGUUAAUUCUUUUAUGACCCUUAAUCUUAGGAAUAAUAGAAAAAGUUACCACGGGGAUAACAGCGUAAUUUUUUUUGAGAGUUCUUAUUGACAAAAAAGUUUGCGACCUCGAUGUUG
RNAcentral lists this ribosomal RNA (309 nucleotides) under Ophiothrix fragilis. RNAcentral describes it as "partial 16S ribosomal RNA". It matches the Rfam family "Bacterial large subunit ribosomal RNA", at positions 1994 to 2534 of the family's 2925-position model. Lineage: Eukaryota; Metazoa; Echinodermata; Ophiuroidea; Amphilepidida; Ophiotrichidae. The record is from RNAcentral.